This 391-nucleotide unclassified non-coding RNA is filed under the name soil metagenome. RNAcentral's name for it is "partial contains 5.8S ribosomal RNA, internal transcribed spacer 2, and large subunit ribosomal RNA". The stretch from base 1 to 122 matches the Rfam family "5.8S ribosomal RNA", at positions 35 to 154 of the family's 154-position model. The record is from RNAcentral.
GAUGAAGAACGUAGCGAAAUGCGAUACUUGGUGUGAAUUGCAGAAUCCCGUGAACCAUCGAGUCUUUGAACGCAAGUUGCCCCCGAAGCCAUUAGGCCGAGGGCACGCCUGCCUGGGCGUCACACGUCGUUGCCCCCCCAUCUACUCCUUCGGGAUUGCGGGGGGCGGAUGAUGGCCUCCCGUGCGCCCCGUCGCGCGGUUGGCAUAAAUGCCAAGUCCUCGGCGACGCACGCCACGACAAUCGGUGGUUGCGAAACCUCGGUUGCCCGUCAUGUGCGGUCGUCGCGCAUCGAGGGCUCGAAAAAAUUGCCGGGCUCCGGCUCGGCUUUCAACGCGACCCCAGGUCAGGCGGGGUUACCCGCUGAAUUUAAGCAUAUCAAUAAGCGGAGGA